AAUUAGUACAAUUUCUUUUUCACGGACAUCUUUAAAAAAUUAUAAAAUAUAAACUCAUGCUUUUUUAGAAAUUCACGAACCCUAUAUUGCUGAAGUUCAUGUUCUGACGAACGACUUAUUUGGUCUUCGUAUUUCAAAUUCGUCGACCCCCAAAGUAAUUUAGGACCUUCUUUUAUAAAACUUUCAAGCAAUUCAUUUAUUUCCUCUGUCUUCUUUCCAUUUCCAGUUGCCUGUGUCGAUUUAUUUUGAUCCAUUGGUAUCGUCGAUGUAACCUCGAAAUUGUUUUGUAAUAAGAAAUC
Schizosaccharomyces pombe (fission yeast) is the source of this 299-nucleotide non-coding RNA. The record is from the annotation of a GenBank genome assembly. NCBI's taxonomy places the organism in Eukaryota, Fungi, Ascomycota, Schizosaccharomycetes, Schizosaccharomycetales, Schizosaccharomycetaceae.